GAACAGAUAACUGAGCUUGCUCCUUUGACGUUAGACGGCGGACGGGCUGAGUAACACGUGGGUAACCUACCUAUAAGACUGGGACAACUUCGGGAAACCGGAGCUAAUACCGGAUAAUAUGUUGAACCGCAUGGUUCAAUAGUGAAAGAUGGUUUUGCUAUCACUUAUAGAUGGANCCCGCGCCGUAUUAGCUAGUUGGUGAGGUAACGGCUCACCAAGGCAACGACUACGUAGCCGACCCUGAGACGGGUGACUCGGCCACACUGGAACUGAGACACGGUCCAGACUCCUACGGGAGGCAGCAGUAGGGAAUCUUCCGCAAUGGGCGAAAGCCUGACGGAGCAACGCCGCGUGAGUGAUGAAGGUCUUCAGGAUCGUAAAACUCUGUAUUACGGGACAGCAACAAACGUGUAAGUAACUGUGCACGUCUUGACGGUACCUAAUCAGAAAGCCACGGUAACUACGUGCCAGCAGCCGCGGUAAUACGUAGGUGGCAAGCGUCAUCCGGAAUACAUUCGGGCGUAAAAGCGCGCGUAGGCGGAUUCAACAACGUCAUGAUGUGAAAGCC
RNAcentral lists this ribosomal RNA (568 nucleotides) under uncultured Staphylococcus sp. RNAcentral describes it as "bacterial SSU rRNA". It matches the Rfam family "Bacterial small subunit ribosomal RNA", at positions 64 to 603 of the family's 1533-position model. The record is from RNAcentral. Lineage: Bacteria; Bacillati; Bacillota; Bacilli; Caryophanales; Staphylococcaceae.